UACGGAGGGGGCUAGCGUUGUUCGGAAUUACUGGUCGUAAAGCGCACGUAGGCGGCCUUGUAAGUUAGAGGUGAAAGCCCGGAGCUCAACUUCGGAAUUGCCUUUAAGACUGCAUCGCUUGAAUCAUGGAGAGGUCAGUGGAAUUCCGAGUGUAGAGGUGAAAUUCGUAGAUAUUCGGAAGAACACCAGUGGCGAAGGCGACUGACUGGACAUGUAUUGACGCUGAGGUGCGAAAGCGUGGGGAGCAAACAGG
This 253-nucleotide ribosomal RNA is filed under the name uncultured bacterium. Its description in RNAcentral is "partial 16S ribosomal RNA". It matches the Rfam family "Bacterial small subunit ribosomal RNA", at positions 524 to 776 of the family's 1533-position model. The record is from RNAcentral.